AUACAGAGGGUGCGAGCGUUAAUCGGAAUUACUGGGCGUAAAGCGCGCGUAGGCGGCUGAUUAAGUCAGAUGUGAAAUCCCAGGGCUCAACCUGGGAACUGCAUCUGAUACUGGGUAGCUAGAGUUUAGGAGAGGGAAGUAGAAUUUCAGGUGUAGCGGUGAAAUGCAUAGAGAUCUGAAGGAAUACCAGUGGCGAAGGCGGCUUCCUGGCCUAAAACUGACGCUGAGGUGCGAAAGCGUGGGUAGCAAACGGGAUUAGAAACCCCAGUAGUCC
RNAcentral lists this ribosomal RNA (274 nucleotides) under uncultured bacterium. RNAcentral's name for it is "partial 16S ribosomal RNA". It matches the Rfam family "Bacterial small subunit ribosomal RNA", at positions 523 to 796 of the family's 1533-position model. The record is from RNAcentral.